GACGAACCGUGCGACCGUUAUUCGGAAUCACUGGGCUUAAAGCGCGUGUAGGCGGGCCGGCACGUCGGUCGCUGAAAUCCCCCGGCUCAACCGGGGAACGGGCGCCGAUACGACCGUCCUGGAGGGACGUAGGGGGACCUGGAACUUCCGGUGGAGCGGUGAAAUGCGUUGAGAUCGGAAGGAACGCCCGUGGCGAAGGCGGAUCUCUGGGCCUGAUCUGACGCUGAGGCGCGAAAGCGUGGGGAGCAAACAGG
This 254-nucleotide ribosomal RNA is filed under the name uncultured bacterium. Its description in RNAcentral is "partial 16S ribosomal RNA". It matches the Rfam family "Bacterial small subunit ribosomal RNA", at positions 524 to 776 of the family's 1533-position model. The record is from RNAcentral.